GAUGAACGCUGGCGGCGUGCCUAAUACAUGCAAGUCGAGCGAACAGACGAGGAGCUUACUCCUCUGACGUUAGCGGCGGACGGGUGAGUAACACGUGGAUAACCUACCUAUAAGACUGGGAUAACUUCGGGAAACCGGAGCUAAUACCGGAUAACAUGUUGAACCGCAUGGUUCAACAGUGAAAGACGGUCUUGCUGUCACUUAUAGAUGGAUCCGCGUCGCAUUAGCUAGUUGGUAAGGUAACGGCUUACCAAGGCAACGAUGCGUAGCCGACCUGAGAGGGUGAUCGGCCACACUGGAACUGAGACACGGUCCAGACUCCUACGGGAGGCAGCAGUAGGGAAUCUUCCGCAAUGGGCGAAAGCCUAACGGAGCAACGCCGCGUGAGUGAAGAAGGUCUUCGGAUCGUAAAACUCUGUUAUUAGGGAAGAACAAAUGUGUAAGUAACUAUGCACGUCUUGACGGUACCUAAUCAGAAAGCCACGGCUAACUACGUG
This 497-nucleotide ribosomal RNA is filed under the name uncultured bacterium. RNAcentral's name for it is "partial 16S ribosomal RNA". It matches the Rfam family "Bacterial small subunit ribosomal RNA", at positions 28 to 507 of the family's 1533-position model. The record is from RNAcentral.